RNAcentral lists this ribosomal RNA (1446 nucleotides) under uncultured Actinomycetes bacterium. RNAcentral describes it as "SSU rRNA". It matches the Rfam family "Bacterial small subunit ribosomal RNA". Lineage: Bacteria; Bacillati; Actinomycetota; Actinomycetes. The record is from RNAcentral.
UGAACGCUGGCGGCGUGCUUAACACAUGCAAGUCGAACGGUGAAGCCAAGCUUGCUUGGUGGAUCAGUGGCGAACGGGUGAGUAACACGUGAGCAACCUGCCCUGGACUCUGGGAUAAGCGCUGGAAACGGCGUCUAAUACUGGAUAUGAGCUCUCAUCGCAUGGUGGGGGUUGGAAAGAUUUUUCGAUCUGGGAUGGGCUCGCGGCCUAUCAGCUUGUUGGUGAGGUAAUGGCUCACCAAGGCGUCGACGGGUAGCCGGCCUGAGAGGGUGACCGGCCACACUGGGACUGAGACACGGCCCAGACUCCUACGGGAGGCAGCAGUGGGGAAUAUUGCACAAUGGGCGGAAGCCUGAUGCAGCAACGCCGCGUGAGGGAUGACGGCCUUCGGGUUGUAAACCUCUUUUAGCAGGGAAGAAGCGGGAGUGACGGUACCUGCAGAAAAAGCGCCGGCUAACUACGUGCCAGCAGCCGCGGUAAUACGUAGGGCGCAAGCGUUAUCCGGAAUUAUUGGGCGUAAAGAGCUCGUAGGCGGUUUGUCGCGUCUGCUGUGAAAUCCCGAGGCUCAACCUCGGGCCUGCAGUGGGUACGGGCAGACUAGAGUGCGGUAGGGGGAGAUUGGAAUUCCUGGUGUAGCGGUGGAAUGCGCAGAUAUCAGGAGGAACACCGAUGGCGAAGGCAGAUCUCUGGGCCGUAACUGACGCUGAGGAGCGAAAGGGUGGGGAGCAAACAGGCUUAGAUACCCUGGUAGCCCACCCCGUAAACGUUGGGAACUAGUUGUGGGGACCAUUCCACGGUUUCCGUGACGCAGCUAACGCAUUAAGUUCCCCGCCUGGGGAGUACGGCCGCAAGGCUAAAACUCAAAGGAAUUGACGGGGACCCGCACAAGCGGCGGAGCAUGCGGAUUAAUUCGAUGCAACGCGAAGAACCUUACCAAGGCUUGACAUACACCAGAACACCGUAGAAAUACGGGACUCUUUGGACACUGGUGAACAGGUGGUGCAUGGUUGUCGUCAGCUCGUGUCGUGAGAUGUUGGGUUAAGUCCCGCAACGAGCGCAGCCCUCGUUCUAUGUUGCCAGCACGUAAUGGUGGGAACUCAUGGGAUACUGCCGGGGUCAACUCGGAGGAAGGUGGGGAUGACGUCAAAUCAUUAUGCCCCUUAUGUCUUGGGCUUCACGCAUGCUACAAUGGCCGGUACAAAGGGCUGCAAUACCGUGAGGUGGAGCGAAUCCCAAAAAGCCGGUCCCAGUUCGGAUUGAGGUCUGCAACUCGACCUCAUGAAGUCGGAGUCGCUAGUAAUCGCAGAUCAGCAACGCUGCGGUGAAUACGUUCCCGGGUCUUGUACACACCGCCCGUCAAGUCAUGAAAGUCGGUAACACCUGAAGCCGGUGGCCCAACCCUUGUGGAGGGAGCCGUCGAAGGUGGGAUCGGUAAUUAGGACUAAG